CCUUCAUCCAUGUUCCAAAAGGUUGCUGGACCUGGUCUUGAUGCCCCAUUGGUACCAUCCUUCCUGCUUUACUCACUGCAAUGGGCUAUACUGAUAUGGUUCAAAGUCUCGCCAAGAAAGCAGCAGAAACUGUUGUCACCGUAAUUGACGAGGAAGGCUUCAGUCAGACAAAGUUCUGCAUACUUUAUUGGAUAUUUAUUCAAAACCAGUGAUCUAUAUCUUGUUGUUGAGGCUCCAAAUGUGAUAUCCACCCUGAUUAUUUUACUAAGUGAAUCAGAUUAAUCUACCGUGACAGUUAUUUUGAUUCAUUGUAUGAUACAAUGCAUUUCAAUGUACUAGUUUAUCUUCCCAUGCUCUUUUACAGGUUGCUUUGGAAGCAUUUUCUAGUGUGAUAAAUUCAGUUCCUGAAGAAGUUCUUCCUUCAUAUAUAGAGUUGGUUCGUGAUGUAUAGAAACAUGCAGGGAGGACCAGUUCUAAUUCCUGGUUUUUCCCUCUGGAAAGCUCUUCAACCUGUGCUUCCUAUUUUCCUCCAGAAAGCAAGCAGCUUUGGGCCUUGGAGAGUAAAUUGAAGUGACAAGUGAGCAAGCAUUAAAGGAGUUUGUCAUUCCAAUCACAG
Molecule: long non-coding RNA, 616 nt
Organism: Ipomoea nil (Japanese morning glory)
Lineage: Eukaryota; Viridiplantae; Streptophyta; Magnoliopsida; Solanales; Convolvulaceae
Exons: 5
Source: RefSeq, a predicted model, not a curated record